This 394-nucleotide ribosomal RNA is filed under the name uncultured bacterium. Its description in RNAcentral is "partial 16S ribosomal RNA". It matches the Rfam family "Bacterial small subunit ribosomal RNA", at positions 523 to 918 of the family's 1533-position model. The record is from RNAcentral.
AUACGGAGGAUGCAAGCGUUAUCCGGAUUUAUUGGGUUUAAAGGGUGCGUAGGCGGAUGAUUAAGCGUGAGGUGAAAUGCCACUGCUCAACAGUGGAACUGCCUCGCGAACUGGUUGUCCUGAAUGCUCCUGCCGUGGGAGGAAUGUGUGGUGUAGCGGUGAAAUGCAUAGAGAUCACACAGAACACCGAUUGCGAAGGCAUCUCACGAAGGGGUGAUUGACGCUGAGGCACGAAAGCGUGGGGAUCAAACAGGAUUAGAUACCCUGGUAGUCCACGCAGUAAACGAUGAUAACUAACCGCUGGGUCGUAGUGAUUCAGUGGCCAAGCGAAAGCGAUAAGUUAUCCACCUGGGGAGUACGACCGCAAGGUUGAAACUCAAAUGAAUUGGCGGGG